AACUUUUGACAACGGAUCACUUGGCUCUCGCAUCGAUGAAGAACGCAGCGAAAUGCGAUAUGUAAUGUGAAUUGCAGAAUCCAGUGAAUCAUCGAAUCUUUGAACGCAUCUUGCGCUCCUUGGCAUUCCGAGGAGCAUGCCUGUUUGAGUGUCAUUAAACUAUCAAAUCACCUCUCCUCUUGAGGUGUUUUGGACUUUGGGAGCAUUUUGCUGGUCUGUUUGAGCCAGCUCUCCUCAAAAGCAUUAGCUAUGGAGACCAUCAGUGUGAUAAUUUGUUUACACUGAUUUGAGUGUCUCAGCUUCUCCUUUUCAAUUACACCCCUUUGACCUCAAAUCAGGUAGGACUACCCGCUGAACUUAAGCAUAUCAAUAAGCGGAGGCU
RNAcentral lists this unclassified non-coding RNA (382 nucleotides) under uncultured Amanita. Its description in RNAcentral is "sequence contains ITS2". The stretch from base 1 to 154 matches the Rfam family "5.8S ribosomal RNA". The record is from RNAcentral. Lineage: Eukaryota; Fungi; Basidiomycota; Agaricomycetes; Agaricales; Amanitaceae.